RNAcentral lists this ribosomal RNA (1342 nucleotides) under uncultured bacterium. Its description in RNAcentral is "bacterial SSU rRNA". It matches the Rfam family "Bacterial small subunit ribosomal RNA", at positions 28 to 1381 of the family's 1533-position model. The record is from RNAcentral.
GACGAACGCUGGCGGCGUGCUUAACACAUGCAAGUCGAACGGAAAGGCCCUUUCGGGGGUACUCGAGUGGCGAACGGGUGAGUAACACGUGGGUGAUCUGCCCUGCACUUUGGGAUAAGCCUGGGAAACUGGGUCUAAUACCGAAUACACCCUGCUGGCUGCAUGGUCUGGUGGGGGAAAGCUUUUGCGGUGUGGGAUGGGCCCGCGGCCUAUCAGCUUGUUGGUGGGGUGAUGGCCUACCAAGGCGACGACGGGUAGCCGGCCUGAGAGGGUGUCCGGCCACACUGGGACUGAGAUACGGCCCAGACUCCUACGGGAGGCAGCAGUGGGGAAUAUUGCACAAUGGGCGCAAGCCUGAUGCAGCGACGCCGCGUGAGGGAUGACGGCCUUCGGGUUGUAAACCUCUUUCAGUAUCGACGAAGCGCAAGUGACGGUAGGUACAGAAGAAGCACCGGCCAACUACGUGCCAGCAGCCGCGGUAAUACGUAGGGUGCGAGCGUUGUCCGGAAUUACUGGGCGUAAAGAGCUCGUAGGUGGUUUGUCGCGUUGUUCGUGAAAACUCACAGCUUAACUGUGGGCGUGCGGGCGAUACGGGCAGACUGGAGUACUGCAGGGGAGACUGGAAUUCCUGGUGUAGCGGUGGAAUGCGCAGAUAUCAGGAGGAACACCGGUGGCGAAGGCGGGUCUCUGGGCAGCAACUGACGCUGAGGAGCGAAAGCGUGGGGAGCGAACAGGAUUAGAUACCCUGGUAGUCCACGCCGUAAACGGUGGGUACUAGGUGUGGGUUUCCUUCCUUGGGAUCCGUGCCGUAGCUAACGCAUUAAGUACCCCGCCUGGGGAGUACGGCCGCAAGGCUAAAACUCAAAGAAAUUGACGGGGGCCCGCACAAGCGGCGGAGCAUGUGGAUUAAUUCGAUGCAACGCGAAGAACCUUACCUGGGUUUGACAUGCACAGGACGUGCCUAGAGAUAGGUAUUCCCUUGUGGCCUGUGUGCAGGUGGUGCAUGGCUGUCGUCAGCUCGUGUCGUGAGAUGUUGGGUUAAGUCCCGCAACGAGCGCAACCCUUGUCUCAUGUUGCCAGCACGUGAUGGUGGGGACUCGUGAGAGACUGCCGGGGUCAACUCGGAGGAAGGUGGGGAUGACGUCAAGUCAUCAUGCCCCUUAUGUCCAGGGCUUCACACAUGCUACAAUGGCCGGUACAAAGGGCUGCGAUGCCGUGAGGUGGAGCGAAUCCUUUCAAAGCCGGUCUCAGUUCGGAUCGGGGUCUGCAACUCGACCCCGUGAAGUCGGAGUCGCUAGUAAUCGCAGAUCAGCAACGCUGCGGUGAAUACGUUCCCGGGCCU